CCGGCGAUGUCCGAAUGGGGAAACCCAGUGCAAUUCGUUGCACUAUCGUUAACUGAAUACAUAGGUUAACGAGGCGAACCGGGGGAACUGAAACAUCUAAGUACCCCGAGGAAAAGAAAUCAACCGAGAUUCCCCCAGUAGCGGCGAGCGAACGGGGAGCAGCCCAGAGUCUGAAUCAGCUUGUGUGUUAGUGGAACGGUCUGGAAAGUCCGACGGUACAGGGUGAUAGUCCCGUACACCAAAAUGCACAGGCUGUGAACUCGAAGAGUAGGGCGGGACACGUGGUAUCCUGUCUGAAUAUGGGGGGACCAUCCUCCAAGGCUAAAUACUCCUGACUGACCGAUAGUGAACCAGUACCGUGAGGGAAAGGCGAAAAGAACCCCGGCGAGGGGAGUGAAAAAGAACCUGAAACCGUGUACGUACAAGCAGUGGGAGCACCUUCGGGUGUGACUGCGUACCUUUUGUAUAAUGGGUCAGCGACUUAUAUUCUGUAGCAAGGUUAACCGUAUAGGGGAGCCGCAGGGAAACCGAGUCUUAACUGGGCGUUAAGUUGCAGGGUAUAGACCCGAAACCCGGUGAUCUAGCCAUGGGCAGGUUGAAGGUUGGGUAACACUAACUGGAGGACCGAACCGACUAAUGUUGAAAAAUUAGCGGAUGACUUGUGGCUGGGGGUGAAAGGCCAAUCAAACCGGGAGAUAGCUGGUUCUCCCCGAAAGCUAUUUAGGUAGCGCCUCGUGAAUUCAUCUUCGGGGGUAGAGCACUGUUUCGGCUAGGGGGUCAUCCCGACUUACCAACCCGAUGCAAACUACGAAUACCGAAGAAUGUUAUCACGGGAGACACACGGCGGGUGCUAACGUCCGUCGUGAAGAGGGAAACAACCCAGACCGCCAGCUAAGGUCCCAAAGUCAUGGUUAAGUGGGAAACGAUGUGGGAAGGCACAGACAGCCAGGAUGUUGGCUUAGAAGCAGCCAUCAUUUAAAGAAAGCGUAAUAGCUCACUGGUCGAGUCGGCCUGCGCGGAAGAUGUAACGGGGCUAAACCAUGCACCGAAGCUGCGGCAGCGACACUAUGUGUUGUUGGGUAGGGGAGCGUUCUGUAAGCCUGCGAAGGUGACCUGUGAGGGUUGCUGGAGGUAUCAGAAGUGCGAAUGCUGACAUAAGUAACGAUAAAGCGGGUGAAAAGCCCGCUCGCCGGAAGACCAAGGGUUCCUGUCCAACGUUAAUCGGGGCAGGGUGAGUCGACCCCUAAGGCGAGGCCGAAAGGCGUAGUCGAUGGGAAACAGGUUAAUAUUCCUGUACUUGGUGUUACUGCGAAGGGGGGACGGAGAAGGCUAUGUUAGCCGGGCGACGGUUGUCCCGGUUUAAGCAUGUAGGCUGGUUAUCCAGGCAAAUCCGGAUAAUCAAGGCUGAGGUGUGAUGACGAGGCACUACGGUGCUGAAGUAACAAAUGCCCUGCUUCCAGGAAAAGCCUCUAAGCAUCAGGUAACAUCAAAUCGUACCCCAAACCGACACAGGUGGUCAGGUAGAGAAUACCAAGGCGCUUGAGAGAACUCGGGUGAAGGAACUAGGCAAAAUGGUGCCGUAACUUCGGGAGAAGGCACGCUGGUGUGUAGGUGAAGUCCCUGCGGAUGGAGCUGAGACCAGUCGAAGAUACCAGCUGGCUGCAACUGUUUAUUAAAAACACAGCACUGUGCAAACACGAAAGUGGACGUAUACGGUGUGACGCCUGCCCGGUGCCGGAAGGUUAAUUGAUGGGGUUAUCCGUAAGGAGAAGCUCUUGAUCGAAGCCCCGGUAAACGGCGGCCGUAACUAUAACGGUCCUAAGGUAGCGAAAUUCCUUGUCGGGUAAGUUCCGACCUGCACGAAUGGCGUAAUGAUGGCCAGGCUGUCUCCACCCGAGACUCAGUGAAAUUGAACUCGCUGUGAAGAUGCAGUGUACCCGCGGCAAGACGGAAAGACCCCGUGAACCUUUACUAUAGCUUGACACUGAACAUUGAGCCUUGAUGUGUAGGAUAGGUGGGAGGCUUUGAAGCGUGGACGCCAGUCUGCGUGGAGCCAACCUUGAAAUACCACCCUUUAAUGUUUGAUGUUCUAACGUUGGCCCCUUACCGGGGUUGCGGACAGUGUCUGGUGGGUAGUUUGACUGGGGCGGUCUCCUCCCAAAGCGUAACGGAGGAGCACGAAGGUUAGCUAAUCCUGGUCGGACAUCAGGAGGUUAGUGCAAUGGCAUAAGCUAGCUUGACUGCGAGCGUGACGGCGCGAGCAGGUGCGAAAGCAGGUCAUAGUGAUCCGGUGGUUCUGAAUGGAAGGGCCAUCGCUCAACGGAUAAAAGGUACUCCGGGGAUAACAGGCUGAUACCGCCCAAGAGUUCAUAUCGACGGCGGUGUUUGGCACCUCGAUGUCGGCUCAUCACAUCCUGGGGCUGAAGUAGGUCCCAAGGGUAUGGCUGUUCGCCAUUUAAAGUGGUACGCGAGCUGGGUUUAGAACGUCGUGAGACAGUUCGGUCCCUAUCUGCCGUGGGCGCUGGAGAAUUGAGGGGGGCUGCUCCUAGUACGAGAGGACCGGAGUGGACGCAUCACUGGUGUUCGGGUUGUCAUGCCAAUGGCACUGCCCGGUAGCUAAAUGCGGAAGAGAUAAGUGCUGAAAGCAUCUAAGCACGAAACUUGCCCCGAGAUGAGUUCUCCCUGAGACUUUAAGUCUCCUGAAGGAACGUUGAAGACGACGACGUUGAUAGGCCGGGUGUGUAAGCGCAGCGAUGCGUUGAGCUAACCGGUACUAAUGAACCGUGAGGCUUAACCUUACAACGCCGAAG
Molecule: ribosomal RNA, 2810 nt
Filed under: Klebsiella pneumoniae
Lineage: Bacteria; Pseudomonadati; Pseudomonadota; Gammaproteobacteria; Enterobacterales; Enterobacteriaceae
Description: partial 23S ribosomal RNA
Rfam family: Bacterial large subunit ribosomal RNA
Source: RNAcentral